This is a non-coding RNA of Acanthosepion pharaonis, 109 nucleotides long. Lineage: Eukaryota; Metazoa; Mollusca; Cephalopoda; Sepiida; Sepiidae. The record is from the annotation of a GenBank genome assembly.
GUCCAUAUCAAGUUGAAACUCCGGAUCAUGUACGAUUACCGAAGUUAAGCAAUGUAGAGCCUGGUCAGUACCUAGAUGGGCGUCUGUUUGGCAAUACAAGGUGCUGUAA